Long non-coding RNA from Oncorhynchus keta (chum salmon), 3081 nucleotides. RefSeq lists it as uncharacterized. The transcript has 6 exons. The record is from RefSeq and is a predicted model, not a curated record. Lineage: Eukaryota; Metazoa; Chordata; Actinopteri; Salmoniformes; Salmonidae.
AGGGCGUCACUGGGCUAAACAGUAGGGCGUCACUGGGCUCAGGCUAAACAGUUGGGCGUCACUGGGCUCAGGCUAAACAGUUGGGCGUCACUGGGCUAAACAGUUGGGCGUCACUGGGCUCAGGCUAAACAAUAGGGCGUCACUGGGCUAAACAGUAGGGCGUCACUGGGCAAAACAGUAUGGCGUCACUGGGCUAAACAGUAGGGCGUCACUGGGCUAAACAGUUGGGCGUCACUGGGCUAAACAGUAGGGCGUCACUGGGCUAAACAGUAGGGCGUCACUGGGCUAAACAGUAGGGCGUCACUGGGCUAAACAGUAGGGCGCCACUGGGCUCAGGUUAAACAGUAGGACGUCACUGGGCUCAGGUUAAACAGUAGGCGUCACUGGGCUAAACAUAUAGGGCAUCACUGGGCUAAACAUAUAGGGCGUCACUGGGCUAAACAGUUGGGCGUCACUGGGCUCAGGCUAAACAGUUGGGCGUCACUGGGCUUAGGCUAAACAGUAGGGCGUCACUGGGCUCAGGCUAAACAGUAGGGCGUCACUGGGCUCAGGCUAAACAGUAGGGCGUCACUGGGCUCAGGCUAAACAGUUGGGCGUCACUGGGCUCAGGCUAAACAGUUGGGCGUCACUGGGCUCAGGCUAAACAGUUGGGCGUCACUGGGCUCAGGCUAAACAAUACGGCGUCACUGGGCUCAGGCUAAAAGUAGGGCGUCACUGGGCUCAGGCUAAACAGUAGGACGUCACUGGGCUCAGGUUAAACAGUAGGCGUCACUGGGCUAAACAUAUAGGGCGUCACUGGGCUAAACAUAAAGGUCGUCACUGGGCUAAACAUAUAGGGCGUCACUGGGCUAAACAGUUGGGCGUCACUGGGCUAAACAGUUGGGCGUCACUGGGCUCGGGCUAAACAGUAGGGUGUCACUGGGCUCAGGCUAAACAGUUGGGCGUCACUGGGCUCAGGCUAAACAGUUGAGCGUCACUGGGCUCAGGCUAAACAGUUGGGCGUCACUGGGCUCAGGCUAAACAGUAGGGCGUCACUGGGCUCAGGCUAAACAGUUGGGCGUCACUGGGCUCAGGCUAAACAGUAGGGCGUCACUGGGCUCAGGCUAAACAGUUGGGCGUCACUGGGCUCAAGUUAAACAGUAGGGCGUCACUGGGCUCAGGCUAAACAAUACGGCGUCACUGGGCUCAGGCUAAACAGUAGGGCGUCACUGGGCUCAGGCUAAACAGUAGGGCGUCACUGGGCUCAGGCUAAACAAUACGGCGUCACUGGGCUCAGGCUAAAAAGUAGGGCGUCACUGGGCUCAGGCUAAACAGUAGGGCGUCACUGGGCUCAGGCUAAACAAUACGGCGUCACUGGGCUCAGGCUAAAAAGUAGGGCGUCACUGGGCUCAGGCUAAACAGUAGGGCGUCACUGGGCUCAGGCUAAACAGUAGGACGUCACUGGGCUCAGGUUAAACAGUAGGCGUCACUGGGCUCAGGUUAAACAGUAGGCGUCACUGGGCUCAGGUUAAACAGUAGGCGUCACUGGGCUAAACAUAUAGGGCGUCACUGGGCUAAACAUAUCGGGCGUCACUGGGCUAAACAAAGGUCGUCACUGGGCUAAACAUAUAGGGCGUCACUGGGCUAAACAUAUAGGGCGUCACUGGGCUAAACAUAUAGGGCGUCACUGGGCUAAACAUAUAGGGUGUCACUGGGCUAAACAUAAAGGGCGUCACUGGGCUAAACAUAUAGGGCGUCACUGGGCUCAGGCUAAACAGUAGGGCGUCACUGGGCUCAGGCUAAACAGUAGGGCGUCACUGGGCUCAGGCUAAACAGUAGGGCGUCACUGGGCUCAGGCUAAACAGUAGGGCGUCACUGGGCUCAGGCUAAACAGGUGGGCGUCACUGGGCUCAGGCUAAACAGGUGGGCGUCACUGGGCUCAGGCUAAACAGUUGGGCGCCCCGGGGUCAGGAUAAACAGUAGGGCGUCACUGGGCUCAGGCUAAACAAUACGGCGUCACUGGGCUCAGGCUAAACAGUAGGGCGUCACUGGGCUCAGGCUAAACAGUAGGACGUCACUGGGCUCAGGUUAAACAGUAGGCGUCACUGGGCUAAACAUAAAGGUUGUCACUGGGCUAAACAUAUAGGGCGUCACUGGGCUAAACAUAUAGGGUGUCACUGGGCUAAACAGUUGGGCGUCACUGGGCUCAGAAUAGACAGUUGGGCGUCACUGGGCUCAGAAUAAACAUUGGGCGUCACUGGGCUCAGGCUAAACAGUUGGGCGUCACUGGGCUCAGGCUAAACAGUAGGGCGUCACUGGGCUCAGGCUAAACAGUUGGGCGUCACUGGGCUAAACAGUAGGGCGUCACUGGGCUCAGGCUAAACAGUAGGGCGUCACUGGGCUCAGGCUAAACAGUUGGGCGUCACUGGGCUCAGGCUAAACAAUACGGCGUCACUGGGCUCAGGCUAAACAGUUGGGCGUCACUGGGCUCAGGCUAAACAGUAGGGCGUCACUGGGCUCAGGCUAAACAGUAGGGCGUCACUGGGCUCAGGCUAAACAGUAGGGCGUCACUGGGCUCAGGCUAAACAAUACGGCGUCACUGGGCUCAGGCUAAACAGUAGGGCGUCACUGGGCUCAGGCUAAACAGUAGGCGUCACUGGGCUAAACAUAUAGGGUGUCACUGGGCUGAACAUAUAGGUCGUCACUGGGCUAAACAUAAAGGUCGUCACUGGGCUAAACAUAAAGGUCGUCACUGGGCUAAACAUAAAGGUCGUCACUGGGCUAAACAUAAAGGUCGUCACUGGGCUAAACAUAAAGGUCGUCACUGGGCUAAACAUAUAGGGCGUCACUGGGCUAAACAUAUAGGGCGUCACUGGGCUCAGGCUAAACAGUUGGGCGUCACUGGGCUCAGAAUAAACAGUUGGGCGUCACUGGGCUCAGGCUAAACAGUUGGGCGUCACUGGGCUCAGGCUAAACAGUAGGGCGUCACUGGGCUCUGGUUAAACAGUAGGGCGUCACUGGGCUCAGGCUAAACAGUUGGGCGUCACUGGGCUCAGGCUAAACAGUAGGGCGUCACUGGGCUCAGGCCAAGGUCUCAUUUAG